This 253-nucleotide ribosomal RNA is filed under the name uncultured bacterium. RNAcentral describes it as "partial 16S ribosomal RNA". It matches the Rfam family "Bacterial small subunit ribosomal RNA", at positions 524 to 776 of the family's 1533-position model. The record is from RNAcentral.
UACAGAGGGUGCGAGCGUUGUCCGGAAUCACUGGGCGUAAAGGGUGCGUAGGCGGGUCUUUAAGUCAGGGGUGAAAUCCUGGAGCUCAACUCCAGAACUGCCUUUGAUACUGAAGAUCUUGAGUUCGGGAGAGGUGAGUGGAACUGCGAGUGUAGAGGUGAAAUUCGUAGAUAUUCGCAAGAACACCAGUGGCGAAGGCGGCUCACUGGCCCGAUACUGACGCUGAUGCACGAAAGCGUGGGGAGCAAACAGG